Molecule: ribosomal RNA, 253 nt
Filed under: uncultured bacterium
Lineage: Bacteria
Description: partial 16S ribosomal RNA
Rfam family: Bacterial small subunit ribosomal RNA
Source: RNAcentral
UACGAAGGGGGCUAGCGUUUUUCGGAAUUACUGGGCGUAAAGCGCACGUAGGCGGAUUUGUUAGUCAGGGGUGAAAUCCCGGGGCUCAACCUCGGAACUGCCUUUGAUACUGCAAGUCUCGAGUCCGGAAGAGGUGAGUGGAAUUCCUGGUGUAGAGGUGAAAUUCGUAGAUAUUAGGAAGAACACCAGUGGCGAAGGCGGCUCACUGGUCCGGUACUGACGCUGAGGUGCGAAAGCGUGGGGAGCAAACAGG